AACGAACGCUGGCGGCAGGCUUACACAUGCAAGUCGAGCGCCCCGCAAGGGGAGCGGCAGACGGGUGAGUAACGCGUGGGAAUCUACCCAUCACUACGGAACAACUCCGGGAAACUGGAGCUAAUACCGUAUACGUCCUUCGGGAGAAAGAUUUAUCGGUGAUGGAUGAGCCCGCGUCGGAUUAGCUAGUUGGUGGGGUAAUGGCCCACCAAGGCGACGAUCCAUAGCUGGUCUGAGAGGAUGAUCAGCCACACUGGGACUGAGACACGGCCCAGACUCCUACGGGAGGCAGCAGUGGGGAAUAUUGGACAAUGGGCGCAAGCCUGAUCCAGCCAUGCCGCGUGAGUGAUGAAGGCCCUAGGGUUGUAAAGCUCUUUCACCGGUGAAGAUAAUGGCGGUAACCGGAGAAGAAGCCCCGGCUAACUUCGUGCCAGCCGCCGCCGUAA
Molecule: ribosomal RNA, 446 nt
Filed under: uncultured bacterium
Lineage: Bacteria
Description: partial 16S ribosomal RNA
Rfam family: Bacterial small subunit ribosomal RNA
Source: RNAcentral